CCCCCCCCCCCCCCCAUAUCUUCCUCCCACCUCACCAAAAACUGCAUAUGCAACCUACGCUCAUCAUAAUCCUUCCUUUUGUAGCAAAAAUUGUGUUCAAUCACCUUCAUCCUCACUCUUAUUUCUUACACAAAGCCCUAAUUUUUUUUCUUCCUUCUCGAAUUCACAUAUAAAUUGGUGAAAUUAGAAGGUUCGUCCAUGUGAUCACAAUGCAUUUAACAUAAAAGAAGAGACGGAUGUGAAAUCAAGCAACGAUGGUGGGUGGCCCAAAUUUUGGAGGGUGGAUUAUGAUGGAGGGCCACCCUCACUUUUUUCUUCAUUCUAAAACAUAUAUUACAUGAUGGAGGGUGGCCCAAAUUUUGUUUGGGGUUUUCAGCAGGUGAACGCUCCUCCAUAAAUCGUACUCCAUUGCUGGAAAGUAUCAGGUGAACGCUUCAAUCAAACGUGUUUUGGAUUAUCUGUGGAACCCAAUUCGAGUUUCCAAGUGCAGUUCUAUCAACCCCCACUACCCAAAAUUGCGCUACACUUUUCUUAUAGAAAACAUACAUCCAACACUCUGGUUCUCUAGACGCAGAAGGGGAAGAGCAAGAUUCGAGAGCUGACUCUUCGAGAAAUUAGCGACAUUAAGGUAUACUUUGAUUGCAUACACAGUUGAUUAGGGAAUAAUAUUGCUAUUGUCCUUGUAUGUCUGUUGUUUUAGCCAUCACUAUCAUCUUCUUCAGCAGCAAUUUCGUUAGCAUGAAAUUAGUUUAUUCGAUUGGCAGCAGGUGGCAACACAUAGGUAGAGCAUCCACUUCAACUGUUAUAAGGUAACAAAUAAUUUUUUCCAUGUAAUUUUUUAUUUUUUUGUAAGUUGUUUGUUGUUGGGAUUUGAAAAUUUUACUGAAAUACGAGGCGGGUGUGUUUUAUUUCUAUUUUUGAUGAUAGAAGGUACUUAUGUUUGAUAUUGAGAUAUGCUAUUGUAUGAUUUUGAUGUGAAGACUCAGAAACUAUGAUAAUGUAGUUAGAUAAUCAAUAGAUUAAAGCUACACAAAGUUGGAUAAUUUCCCUUUAUCAAGAUAUUUGUAGACCUGCCUGUUCAAAUAUUAUCAAAGCUGGAUUAGGAUUAUUUCACUUUAUAGACCUGUUUGUUCAAAUAUGAUUACUUUUUGGAUAAAUCUGAUGGUUAUGUGUAGGGGUGUAAACGAGCCGGGCCGAGCCCGAGCUCGACCAGGCUCGAGCUCGGCUCGUUAGGUUUUUAUGAAGCUCGAGCUCGGCUCGGUUCGAGCCUAUUUCUUUGAGCUCGAGCUCGGCUCGCGAGUAAAACCCAAAGCUCGAGCUCGGCUCGAACUAUUUUGAGAACAACCUUAAACGAGCUAAAAGCUCGGCUCGAGCUCACUUCAACAUCGCUUAAACGAGCCAAAGCUCGGCUCGAGCUCGACUCAUCAAUGUUAUCAUCAUUAUUAAUAUAUUAUAUAUAAAAAAAUUAAAAUUUUGUAUGGGCUCGUUUAGGCUCGCGAGCCUAAACAAGCUUUGUAUUUCAGGCUCGGGCUCGGUAACAAAACGAGCAUUAUUUCAGGCUCGAGCUCGGGCUCGGGCUCGUUAAGACUCGGCUCGUUGGAGCUUUUAACCGAGCCGAUCACGAGUAGCUCUCGAGCAUCUAGGCUUGUUUACACCCCUAGUUAUGUGCCUGGGAUGUUUGAUCUGAUUUUAAAUAAUAUGUUUGCUUUUGAAUUUGACAACCGAGAAAAAGAAUGGGCAAUAAUAAAAAUUGUAUGUUGAGUUUGAUCCCAAACUUAUGGUAUCUUUCGUUUAUAGUCCCAUGUUUAUAUUAACAAUAACUCAAAAUUAUUCUACUGUAAGACCACGAACAGUUUAGGUUUUGUACCAAAAGCUUUAAGUCCUUUUUCUUAAUAAUUCACAAUUUAGUAACUGAUUACACUUUGAAUGUUUUUAUCGUAGUUGAUAUAAUUCAAUUAUAGAAUUUGACAAAAUUGUGGACCAUCUUGCAACUGUAGAUCGUGGGGUUAAUGUUGUUUUAUUUGAAAGAACUGAGAAAACACAUUUUUAAAAAGUGAGAGACACCCAAAAGCGACGAGGUCUAAAACUGAGGCGUGAAGUGCAAAAGCGGCAGGCUUUUCGUACCCAAGGCGCAAAGUGAGUAUAUAAAAUAUAUUACAACAGUUUGAUGCAUAAAGACAACGUAAAAACACCCUAGGUACAAGAGGCGCGCUCCUCAGGUCAGAAAAGCCGUCCAAAAUUGCUCUUUUUGGUGCUUCUUGUAAGAAGCACGCCUCGGGCUAUUAAAGGCGCAAAGGCUUGCGCCUCGCGCGUCAGGCGCACUUUUUAAAACCCAGAAUAGGAUGUGGUGUUAUAGAAGAGUUUAAGGAGGAAUAGAUUGUUUCCACAACCCACACCCUGAAUUUCAUUAUAUAACCGAAUUCCAAAGUCAUGAGCCAAAGGUAUGCAUUAUCUCCAUCUUUUUCUUGUAACAAAAUUAGAUUCCUUGUGGUUCGUUUCAUGUGAAUUAAUUCUACUGUUGGUGCUUGUAUCUUCGGUUUGACUAUCUAAAAAGCUUGGAAAUUGAGGAGAAUAUCAACUAGAUCAGAUGGUGUUACAGAACUAACUACGCUAUGUUUUUGCUGUCCUUUGAUUAUAAAACUCUAAAAUUCUUUAAGGUACGGGUUCUAGAAAAAAGGUCUGAUAGUAUUAUAGUACUAUUGUAAUAGGUUGCCAUAUAAUGUUUUUUUAUAUUAUACACGGUCUAAGGUGGCAUCAUGGGGGUUGGGUGGGUCGCGUAACCUGUUAAAACGGAUACUAUUUUUUGGGUGGUUCCAAGCAUGUUGGAUCGGGUGAGUUGACCUGUGAUUACAGAAACUAUUAUUAGUGUAAUAUUUUAAUUUUUAAUAGAAUUAUCUAAGACUUUCUUUGCAUUGAAGGGUCGAAACUGGUUUUUUUUUUCUUUUGUGGAUUAGAUGGGUCGCGUAACCUUUCCCGAUUGCAACACCAACACGUUGUGUGUUACCAUCAGGUAAGUUUCUAUGCUGUCCUUUUUCACAAUAUAUAAGAGGUAGUAAAAUGGGCAGGACUAACAAGGCCAGAAGGUGCAACUUUUUGUUACAGGUCAGGUCUAAACGAACGCUUUUUAUGUGUGAAUUUAUUAAAUUUCUUUGCAAAUAAUUACUAUUUGGCACAUUUCGUUUUAAGUUAUAUUUUUACGUGUUUGGCCCGUUUGAGAUGAAACAUAGCUUGAAUUUACACUUCCAUAAGUGAAUGGGUCAAAGUUAGAAGACUGUUAUAUACUACAUCAAGUAGAAUGCCAUGUAAAAUAUGAUCAUGUCACUAGCUUUUGAAGGUGACUCAUAUGUAUUUUUCUAAAAUAAUCCAGGCAUGGUUUGCAACAGGAGAUGCAGGUUGUAAUGGUGAUGCCACAUGGGGUUCAAGGUCGGUGGUCAUCACAGCCACGUAGACUUUGUAUUCAAAAGACGAAAUUUAAAUAUAUACAUGGAUGGAUGCUACACUUCAUGAGCUAACUAAUCUGGUCUCAAUCCAAAUCAGCAGUUACGUAGGGUUGGGAACUAGCUCUACUCGAUUGUCCACUUAAUAUAGAUUAUCUUUGUUUUGUUUGUUACGAUGUCAACGUAACCCGUCCACUAGACGGAUAUUAAACUAGUUUAGUGUGUUAGAUUUAUAUAUUAUUUGUUAUUUAAAAUAUGUUCUGUUUUUUAUAAUCUAAUUUUAAUUAAACCUUAAAAAUGUAGUCAUUCGUUUAAUAAAAUGUGGUGUGAAUGGUUUUCUAAAAA
This is a long non-coding RNA of Helianthus annuus (common sunflower), 3782 nucleotides long. RefSeq lists it as uncharacterized. NCBI's taxonomy places the organism in Eukaryota, Viridiplantae, Streptophyta, Magnoliopsida, Asterales, Asteraceae. The transcript has 6 exons. The record is from RefSeq and is a predicted model, not a curated record.